Molecule: ribosomal RNA, 157 nt
Filed under: Aphanomyces astaci
Lineage: Eukaryota; Oomycota; Saprolegniomycetes; Saprolegniales; Verrucalvaceae
Description: 5.8S ribosomal RNA
Rfam family: 5.8S ribosomal RNA
About the family: 5.8S ribosomal RNA (5.8S rRNA) is a component of the large subunit of the eukaryotic ribosome. It is transcribed by RNA polymerase I as part of the 45S precursor that also contains 18S and 28S rRNA.
Source: RNAcentral
CAACUUUCAACAGUGGAUGUCUAGGCUCGCACAUCGAUGAAGAACGCUGCGAACUGCGAUACGUAAUGCGAAUUCAGAAUUCAGUGAGUAUCGAAAUUUUGAACGCAUAUUGCACUUUCGGGUUAGUCCUGGAAGUAUGUCUGUAUCAGUGUCCGUU